GAGAGAGAGAGAGAGAGAGCGUGGCAGUCUUUGUGUUGUUCAAAGCAACGCAAUAUCGGCGCAAGAGAAGAAGAAAGGUAUUCCAGAAUUCACAUGGAGGAAGAGAAGGCAAAGAGUGCAGAGCCACCAGAAAACAGACCAGUUCGAGUAUAUGCUGAUGGCAUCUACGAUCUCUUCCACUUUGGUCACGCCCGGUCUCUCGAGCAAGCCAAGAAGCUGUUUCCCAACACUUACCUGUUAGUUGGGUGCUGCAAUGAUGAAAUCACUCACAAGUAUAAGGGUAAAACUGUCAUGACUGACAAGGAGCGAUACGAGUCUCUUCGCCAUUGCAGGUGGGUCGAUGAAGUGAUCCCUGAUGCACCAUGGGUGCUUACACAAGAGUUCCUUGACAAACAUCAGAUUGACUAUGUGGCCCAUGACUCUCUUCCUUAUGCUGAUACAAGUGGGGCAGGAAAGGAUGUCUAUGAAUUUGUGAAGUCUAUUGGAAAAUUUAAGGAAACAAAACGAACUGAUGGGAUCUCAACAUCAGAUAUCAUAAUGAGGAUUGUCAAAGAUUACAACGAGUAUGUAAUGCGUAAUCUGGCACGUGGGUAUACAAGAAAGGAUUUGGGCGUUAGCUAUGUGAAGGAAAAGCGGCUCAGAGCGCACAUGGGACUUAAAAAGUUGGGUGAGAGAGUGAAAAAGCAGCAAGAGAAAGUGGGGGAAAAGAUACAAACAGUAGCAAAAACCGCUCGUGUGCAUCGAAAUGAAUGGGUGGAGAAUGCUGAUCGACUGGUUGCUGGAUUUCUUGAGAUGUUUGAAGAAGGUUGCCAUAAAAUG
RNAcentral lists this unclassified non-coding RNA (819 nucleotides) under Hevea brasiliensis (rubber tree). The record is from RNAcentral. Lineage: Eukaryota; Viridiplantae; Streptophyta; Magnoliopsida; Malpighiales; Euphorbiaceae.